CCAAUAGCGUAUAUUAAAGUUGUUGCAGUUAAAAAGCUCGUAGUUGAAUUUCGGAAUCAGUACGUUGGUCGUGCCUUAGGUAUGCACUGGCGUCGCUGGUUUCUCCCUUCUGACGAACCGUGAUGUCAUUAAUUUGGUGUUGCGGGGAAUCAGGACUGUUACUUUGAAAAAAUUAGAGUGUUUAAAGCAGGCUCACGCUUGAAUACAUUAGCAUGGAAUAAUGAAAUAGGACGUUUGAUUCUAUUUUGUUGGUUUCUAGGAUCGACGUAAUGAUUAAUAGGGAUAGUUGGGGGCAUUAGUAUUCAAUUGUCAGAGGUGAAAUUCUUGGAUUUAUUGAAGACUAACUACUGCGAAAGCAUUUGCCAAGGAUGUUUUCAUUAAUCAAGAACGAAAGUUAGGGGAUCGAAGACGAUCAGAUACCGUCGUAGUCUUAACCAUAAACUAUGCCGACUAGGGAUCGGAUGAUGUUAAUUUUAUAAUGACUCAUUCGGCGCCUUACG
Molecule: ribosomal RNA, 500 nt
Filed under: uncultured Glomeromycotina
Lineage: Eukaryota; Fungi; Glomeromycota
Description: partial small subunit ribosomal RNA
Rfam family: Eukaryotic small subunit ribosomal RNA
Source: RNAcentral